RNAcentral lists this ribosomal RNA (468 nucleotides) under uncultured bacterium. RNAcentral describes it as "partial 16S ribosomal RNA". It matches the Rfam family "Bacterial small subunit ribosomal RNA", at positions 28 to 507 of the family's 1533-position model. The record is from RNAcentral.
GACGAACGCUGGCGGCGUGCUUAACACAUGCAAGUCGAACGGAAAGGCCCUGCUUUUGUGGGGUGCUCGAGUGGCGAACGGGUGAGUAACACGUGAGUAACCUGCCCUUGACUUUGGGAUAACUUCAGGAAACUGGGGCUAAUACCGGAUAGGAGCUCCUGCUGCAUGGUGGGGGUUGGAAAGUUUCGGCGGUUGGGGAUGGACUCGCGGCUUAUCAGCUUGUUGGUGGGGUAGUGGCUUACCAAGGCUUUGACGGGUAGCCGGCCUGAGAGGGUGACCGGCCACAUUGGGACUGAGAUGCGACCCAGACUCCUACGGGAGGCAGCAGUGGAGAAUAUUGCACAAUGGGCGGAAGCCUGAUGCAGCAACGCCGCGUGCGGGAUGACGGCCUUCGGGUUGUAAACCGCUUUCGCCUGUGACGAAGCGUGAGUGACGGUAAUGGGUAAAGAAGCACCGGCUAACUACGUG